CUGAAUAAAAAUAGAGACUAAAGGCAGAUAGGAAUUUGUUACAGGCACUUAGAGACCACAGAUGAAGACUAAGCUGGACCUAACUUCUGCUGCCAUUGACACUGCAGUAGCAGCAACAUCACUGCUGGGCCUCCAGGGAGCAUUUUAACAGCUGGUGGACAGAGGUGCCAUUUUAAAUGCAAUGAGAAUACAGCUAGGAGAGUCUAUCUAUCAUCAACAAGAUUUAGUACUUCACUCACCAAUCAUGUGAUUUGCAACAUGAACCUGGAUAUCCCACUCAUUGUAGAAAACCAUCUGGCACUUGAUGCACUGAUAGGUCU
This is a non-coding RNA of Podarcis muralis (Common wall lizard), 320 nucleotides long. NCBI's taxonomy places the organism in Eukaryota, Metazoa, Chordata, Lepidosauria, Squamata, Lacertidae. The record is from RefSeq and is a predicted model, not a curated record.